Molecule: long non-coding RNA, 407 nt
Filed under: Homo sapiens (human)
Lineage: Eukaryota; Metazoa; Chordata; Mammalia; Primates; Hominidae
Description: HSALNT0292179
Source: RNAcentral
GCUUUAGUGAUUCCGGGUCAGAGUCUUGCAAUCAGAAGCAACUCCCACCCUCAGCCCUCAAAAUGGGCCAUCUCAAAUCUUACUAGCCAAUGGCACUCCAAGGAGAGGGAGGAGCAGUGUCCCUGUCAGGAAUUACACAGAUAUUGUUUGCUCUGCAGACCUGAGCUGCCUCUUAAGGGUGCUGAUUACACAGCCUUCUUCAUCUCAGCCUAUGUCCAGAUGGAUCACAGAAUCCUCACCACAAGGGAGCUGGCCAGCCUGACCUGGAAGGACCAUCCAGAAACUCAACCAAGGCACCACAGACUGCUGGGGAAAGGUUCUUGCUGUUUUAAAUAACAUGUCCAGGCCGGGCACAAUGGCUCACGCCAGUAAUCCCAGCACUUUGGGAGGCCGAGGAAGGCGGAUCA